AUGAAAACAAGGCCACGACAAACUUAUCGGAGUGUGCUCCCGAUACUGACAUAUCGAAGGAAAGUAGUUGGAAAGCAGCCUCAGGCAGGGCUUCUAGGAGAGAUUCCAGAUUUACACGUGUUGCCGCCCCAGAAGAUCUUCCGGUGGGGUGUGGCCAUGGAACACAGGGACGAUGACAUCCCUAACCCCGUAUGCAGGCCUAAAAUAAUGUAUCCAUUUGUGUUUUACCAUUUGAUGGAAAAGUUUAAAAAGCUAAAAAAAAAAAAUAGAAAAGAGCUUACAGAGUAAGAAUAUAAAAAUAAAUCUCUGUAUAUACAACGCGUGUUUUCAGCUAUGUGUUAUUACAAACGGGUCAAAAUGUUUUUAAGAAUUCAGGCAAGCACGGUGGCGCACGCCUGUAAUCCCAGCACUCGGGAAGCUAAGGAAGGAGGAGCACCUUGAAUUCAAGGCCAGCCCGUGCUACAUAGUGAGUCAAGGCCAGUCUGAACUACAUAGUGAGACCCUGCCGCAAAUAAAAAAGUUUUAAAAAAUUUAUAAAGCAAAAAAGCAACAACAGUACGUCAAGGUUAACUUACUGAAGAAAGGAAAGUACUCGCCAGGAACUUAGCACGGUGCAGCACACAGCACCGUGGGAUCCACAGCAGCACGUAGCAAGGUCCUCGGCCUCCGCUCCAUCACAUCCCUGGAAUACAGCAACCUCCCGCCCCG
This 708-nucleotide long non-coding RNA is filed under the name Chinchilla lanigera (long-tailed chinchilla). RNAcentral's name for it is "lncRNA (ENSCLAG00000024264.1)". Lineage: Eukaryota; Metazoa; Chordata; Mammalia; Rodentia; Chinchillidae. The record is from RNAcentral.